UUUGCUCUUUGAUGAUAAAAUGUUUUCUUUAAUUUGCUUGCAUAAUGGUUGAUGAGUAUGAAGUUCAUUUUGUUAGAUCCAAUUCUAUAGGGUAUAUAUGUGUCCUCUAUAUCUCUAUGUGUUGAUGCUUCUAAAGGCACACCUUGUGAGGCUGGUGGCGUGGGCAAGUUAAAAGUGUUUGCGACCAAGUUUGGCAUCACUACUUCUUUUCAUGUAGAGUUAUUGGAUGCUUGUGGUUAUUAAAAGUGUUUAUUCUAAUGUCUUUUUUGUUGGAGAUAUAUACAUGAGCUUCAAGUUUAUAUUCUAAGACAAUAUAUGUGUAAAUAAAUCCGUGAAUCGUUGAAUCACUGCUUCUACUUUUUUGAUAAGAUUUUUCGUUUCAACAUAGUUGAGAUGCUUCCUUCAUUAGUGAUGAAUUUAC
RNAcentral lists this long non-coding RNA (421 nucleotides) under Cicer arietinum (chickpea). RNAcentral's name for it is "long non-coding RNA (CARI_LNC002445)". The record is from RNAcentral. Lineage: Eukaryota; Viridiplantae; Streptophyta; Magnoliopsida; Fabales; Fabaceae.